Molecule: long non-coding RNA, 866 nt
Filed under: Cricetulus griseus (Chinese hamster)
Lineage: Eukaryota; Metazoa; Chordata; Mammalia; Rodentia; Cricetidae
Description: lncRNA (ENSCGRG00015041026.1)
Source: RNAcentral
GCCGCCGCCAUUAUACAUUGUACAAAGCAAAGAGGUUCCCGAUUAAACUGUGUUUGAAGAAGAUUCCUCGGUGUGGCGUCUUUCUUGCUGGUCAAGGGUGGACGCCACAAGUGGUGGCCUGUACGGGGAAUUCAGAACUUCUCACAGUCGGGGCGGCGCCGGAUCAGCAAGACCCGGUGUGGAUUCCAGAGAGACUAACGAGGAGGUGCAACAAACAAGAUAAAGCCUCCGAUAUUGAUCCUGCUGCUGAUCUUGACAACACCGUGGCUGAUCCAGGCCAGAGAACAAAUCCUGAUGGCCAAUAAUUUCACGGAGAACAGCAACCUGAGUUGGCAGCUGAGUGCCUACCUUCAGGGAAAUUGGAGUCAACAGUUCGAGAACCUGACAGACACCCUGACACAACAGAUUAUUGCCAUGAAUGCUACAUGCCUGAGCCUGCCCACUGUUAAUACCCUCUUAACUACCCUUAAGCGAGCCUUUAGUUUAGUUAAGGAAUGGGCUGGAGUAGGGGUUAUGUUUUCCAUGAUGCUGUUAGCCAUUUUUGUUUGCUUAUGGUGCCUAUGCAGGAUCAGGAAGUCACAAAAAUCCCAAGCUACUAUGUUGGUACAGGCCUUUGCUGCUGUGGAAGCAGGACAGUCCCCUCAAGCAUGGUUAUCCAUGCUGACAGACAAAUAGAUGUCUGUCUCGCCCUUGCUGAGUGAGUGAUGCGUAUCUGAAUCAGUCAUGCUCAAUGACGGGCACCUACCCUCAUGCUGAGCAAAUAAGCAUACAUGUGUUCCCUUCAACCUAAGACAUGAGCCUGUAAGGGCGACACAAUGACUCUUUGACGGGUAAGAUAGGGACACUGGGGUUAAACCUAAGACAGA